This 1117-nucleotide long non-coding RNA is filed under the name Drosophila guanche. The record is from RNAcentral. Lineage: Eukaryota; Metazoa; Arthropoda; Insecta; Diptera; Drosophilidae.
CCUCUACAGUCGUUGACCCUAGUCCGGCAUCUUCGUAAGUCAGGAACUCCCCCUUUACCUUCUCCAGUUCUUCAGCUUCCUUCUCUUCCAGGUCCCACGCGUCCACAUGUACGUUCUCCUGGUGGUCUUCGACAUAUUGACUGAUCUGUGACAUCUGGACUUCGGAUAUUUUGGCAUCGCUUGUCGAACUUGGAUACGGACCGAGGACUGUGGGAGCCAACUCGAACGACCUCCAAAAAUCGACCCCCAAGUACAUGACUUGCUCCAGGUAUGGACAGAUGUAAAAGAGAAUGUCCUUGCUGAUUCCGUUGUACUCCACAGGGAUUCUCGCCUUGCCGAUUAUGGUCCUGUCCUCUCCUGCGGCGGUUUUGACGAUCGAGAUAUAGUUGUCCAUCUCCACUCCGAGGUCGUCUAGGAGCUCACGACUGCCCUUUCCGAGGACACUUACGGAUGCCCCAGUAUCCAGGAGUCCGGAAAUCUUCCGUCCUAGGAUUUGCACCUCGGCAAAAACCCUUGGGUCACGUCCUGCUCCACGCCUGACUGCUUCCGCCACCUCCUUGCGAGUCUGUCUCCUUUGCCGGAAGCGUGCACGGGCCCUCUGGAGUCUACGGCUGACACCUCGCAUUCCAUUCAGCUGAUGUCCGUNUACCGUCGUCCUAUUGCUCCACGGACUAUCGCUAACCUCUAUCACUCCUAGUUCCAGCAUCUUGUCCACUUCGGUCCAGACCACUUCCUGCAUCGCUGGGGAUUGAGGGUAGUGUCGAUCCUUAAACGGCUCCGCGCCCUCUACCAACUGGAUCCGAUGCUCCUCUACAGUCGUUGACCCUAGUCCGGCAUCUUCGUAAGUCAGGAACUCCCCCUUUACCUUCUCCAGUUCUUCAGCUUCCUUCUCUUCCAGGUCCCACGCGUCCACAUGUACGUUCUCCUGGUGGUCUUCGACAUAUUGGCUGAUCUGUGACAUCUGGACUUCGGAUAUUUUGGCAUCGCUUGUCGAACUUGGAUACGGACCGAGGACUGUGGGAGCCAACUCGAACGACCUCCAAAAAUCGACCCCCAAGUACAUGACUUGCUCCAGGUAUGGACAGAUGUAAAAGAGAAUGUCCUUGCUGAUUCCGUU